CCUACGGGUGGCAGCAGUGGGGAAUAUUGCGCAAUGGGCGAAAGCCUGACGCAGCGACGCCGCGUGAGGGAUGAAUGUCUUCGGAUCUUAAACCUCUGUCAGCAGGGAAGAACGGUCACUGUGCUAAUCAGCAGUGAAUGUACCGUACCUGCAAAGGAAGCACCGGCUAACUCCGUGCCAGCAGCCGCGGUAAUACGGAGGGUGCGAGCGUUAAUCGGAAUUACUGGGCGUAAAGCGCUCGUAGGCGGUAGGUCAAGUCAAGGGUGAAAUCCCGGCGCUCAACGGUGAAACUGCCUUUGAAACUGGCAGACUGGAGUGUGUGAGAGGAUAGUGGAAUUCCAGGUGUAGGAGUGAAAUCCGUAGAUAUCUGGAGGAACAUCAGUGGCGAAGGCGACUAUCUGGCACAUAACUGACGCUGAGGAGCGAAAGCGUGGGUAGCAAACAGGAUUAGAUACCCUUGUAGUC
This 465-nucleotide ribosomal RNA is filed under the name uncultured bacterium. RNAcentral's name for it is "partial 16S ribosomal RNA". It matches the Rfam family "Bacterial small subunit ribosomal RNA", at positions 338 to 795 of the family's 1533-position model. The record is from RNAcentral.